AACGCACAUUGCGCCCGCCAGCAUCCUGGCGGGCAUGCCUGUUCGAGCGUCAUUUCCACCCUCAGGCCCUGCCUGGUGUUGGGGGCCUGCGCCUGCAGCCCCUGAAAGACAGCGGCGGUCCCGUACCGGCCCUGAGCGUAGUACUAUACGUCGCUCCGGGCGCCGGGCGGGCACCGGCCGUAAGCCUUUUUUCUCAAGGUUGACCUCGGAUCAGGUAGGAAUACCCGCUGAACUUAA
RNAcentral lists this unclassified non-coding RNA (237 nucleotides) under Chaetosphaeria sp. Its description in RNAcentral is "partial contains 5.8S ribosomal RNA, internal transcribed spacer 2, and large subunit ribosomal RNA". The record is from RNAcentral. RNAcentral also lists the same sequence under 1 other name. Lineage: Eukaryota; Fungi; Ascomycota; Sordariomycetes; Chaetosphaeriales; Chaetosphaeriaceae.